AUUGAACGCUGGCGGCAGGCCUAACACAUGCAAGUCGAGCGGAUGAAGGGAGCUUGCUCCUGGAUUCAGCGGCGGACGGGUGAGUAAUGCCUAGGAAUCUGCCUGGUAGUGGGGGAUAACGUCCGGAAACGGGCGCUAAUACCGCAUACGUCCUGAGGGAGAAAGUGGGGGAUCUUCGGACCUCACGCUAUCAGAUGAGCCUAGGUCGGAUUAGCUAGUUGGUGGGGUAAAGGCCUACCAAGGCGACGAUCCGUAACUGGUCUGAGAGGAUGAUCAGUCACACGGGAACUGAGACACGGUCCAGACGCCUACGGGAGGCAGCAGUGGGGAAUAUUGGACAAUGGGCGAAAGCCUGAUCCAGCCAUGCCGCGUGUGUGAAGAAGGUCUUCGGAUUGUAAAGCACUUUAAGUUGGGAGGAAGGGCAGUAAGUUAAUACCUUGCUGUUUUGACGGUACCAACAGAAUAAGCACCGGCUAACUUCGUG
Molecule: ribosomal RNA, 484 nt
Filed under: uncultured bacterium
Lineage: Bacteria
Description: partial 16S ribosomal RNA
Rfam family: Bacterial small subunit ribosomal RNA
Source: RNAcentral